RNAcentral lists this long non-coding RNA (1228 nucleotides) under Triticum aestivum (bread wheat). RNAcentral's name for it is "long non-coding RNA (TAES_LNC003475)". Lineage: Eukaryota; Viridiplantae; Streptophyta; Magnoliopsida; Poales; Poaceae. The record is from RNAcentral.
UGGAAGACGCCUUUUCUCACCGGAUCUAACAUAGAUAAAUGAUUCUUCAUGAGCAAAUUUCAGAGAAAAUAUAAAGCAUGGAAGGUUUUAAGUUGUACUAUUGAGACCAUACCACCAUAUCUUCUUUUAGUUUCUUUGGAAAUCUAAAGGUCUAAGAGGACGGUACAUGUGAGAAGCUGUGAAUCCACAACAAAAAACUAAACUAACUUCCAACAAACAUUUCAAGUUUGGAAGCCAGAAAGAAGCAGCCCAGAUCUCUCGUUGUAGUGCAGGUUCAAGAAAAUGGGCCGAAUGACCAUCACAGCAACAUGUAGAAGCAGCAAAAAUAUAGGCUUGGUGUGUAACUGAUCAUGAAAGAUAGUUUGAUCAGUUUCUCCAUUGUUGGCUUAUACUGAGCAAGAACAUCAGCCUGCAGAGAAGAAAAAUGGAGGACUGCUUUAUUCUGCGGUACAUCCACAAUACUACAGCAAAUAAAGUAGUUAAAUGUGUGCUAAGAUGUAAGACCUUUUAGAUCACUAUUUUAGUGAUGUAAAAAGUAAGCGGUGAUCUAAAAGCUCUUGUAUUAGUUUGAAGUGGGAGUACUUAAUAAGACUGUAAGCCAGUACAUCAAAGUAAUGUCGGCUUCCCAUUGAUUUGAUCAAACCAAUAUGACAAAGGGAAGGUGAAACUUCAGAAGACCAUAUAAAUUGAAAGCGAUGUCUUAAUUUGAAACUCUGAAAUGAAGUAAUAAACAUUAAGUCUAAAUGUUGUCACUAAAAAAGCAUAAAAAAGGCUGACCAGCCAACAGUGCAUCAUAAUUAGUGGUUCAUCAUGGGCAAACCAGGCAGCAGUAGCCUAAUAACUUAGACGGAAAAAAUGCAAGAAGUCAAAGCACAAGGUGGGAAAUAGGACCGAGCAUUGACAGGUAACCAAAUAAUGAAGGAAUAUCCCCAGAGGAUGCAAGAAGUGAGAGAGGAGCACCUAGCAGAGGUUUGUGGACUACCUCUUUAUGCCACACCAUAUCCACAUCCCUAGCGCUUGACGUACUUGCUGCUAUUGCCAUCUCUACCUUAUUUCCUCCAUUGCCGGUUCGUGGACUACCUCUUCAGGACACGCCGAAUACAUAUCCUCUCCUUUACCAGCUGGUAGUCUCGCCCUUCAAUCAUGCCACUAACAAAUAAAAAGAGAAAACUAUGAUCAAGUUGAUAAGUCUUACGACUGUAUGUGAGGAAAGCAAAUAAUUCAUGCU